CAGUCCAAAGUCUCCAGCAGUAGCAAAUCCAGUAGCAACAGCAGCCUUCGGUGGAGCAGCCGGUGGCUCAGUCAGUGCCACCUAGGCACAGUCGCCAUUCACCACGACGCUCACCCUCUUCAUCUCUAGAGCGACGACCGUCUCGACAUCCUCAUCGAGAUGGACAGUCACAUUUUCGGCACUUCUACCGUACCAUCCAUCAUUCAUGGCAUUCUCCCUCUCCUUUUCGUGCACAC
Molecule: long non-coding RNA, 236 nt
Filed under: Elaeis guineensis (African oil palm)
Lineage: Eukaryota; Viridiplantae; Streptophyta; Magnoliopsida; Arecales; Arecaceae
Description: long non-coding RNA (EGUI_LNC014326)
Source: RNAcentral